Ribosomal RNA from Oncorhynchus mykiss (rainbow trout), 119 nucleotides. Lineage: Eukaryota; Metazoa; Chordata; Actinopteri; Salmoniformes; Salmonidae. The record is from Ensembl.
GCUUGCGGCCACACCGGCCUGAGUACGCCUGAUCUCGUCCGAUCUCGGAAGCUAAGCAGGGUCGGGCCUGGUUAGUACUUGGAUGGGAGACAGGUUGGGAAUACCAGGUGCUGUAAGCU